Molecule: long non-coding RNA, 235 nt
Filed under: Manihot esculenta (cassava)
Lineage: Eukaryota; Viridiplantae; Streptophyta; Magnoliopsida; Malpighiales; Euphorbiaceae
Description: long non-coding RNA (MESC_LNC012164)
Source: RNAcentral
UUGUGUUCUACUCACCUCUGGCUGAUACUCAACUGACUCUGGAGCAGCUAACUCACUGCUGAUUACCUCGGUUCCUCAGGUCCGAUCCUACACAGGUGGACACAAAUGAGGGACCAAACAUACUCUAUGAUGUAAACACGACCAACAACACCAAAAAUGAUGAGCUAGCAUUGCCUCAAGGACCAAUUACAAGGCUGAGAUCCAAGAGGUUGAAGGAAGCACUUCAAGGAUUCAU